AGUGAACGCUGGCGGUAGGCCUAACACAUGCAAGUCGAACGGCAGCACAGUAAGAGCUUGCUCUUACGGGUGGCGAGUGGCGGACGGGUGAGGAAUACAUCGGAAUCUACUUUUUCGUGGGGGAUAACGUAGGGAAACUUACGCUAAUACCGCAUACGACCUACGGGUGAAAGCAGGGGAUCUUCGGACCUUGCGCGAUUGAAUGAGCCGAUGUCGGAUUAGCUAGUUGGCGGGGUAACGGCCCACCACGGCGACGAUCCGUAGCUGGUCUGAGAGGAUGAUCAGCCACACUGGAACUGAGACACGGUCCAGACUCCUACGGGAGGCAGCAGUGGGGAAUAUUGGAAAAUGGGCGCAAGCCUGAUCCAGCCAUACCGCGUGGGUGAAGAAGGCCUUCGGGUUGUAAAGCCCUUUUGUUGGGAAAGAAAAGCAGCAGGUUAAUACCCCGCUGUUCUGACGGUACCCAAAGAAUAAGCACCGGCUAACUUCGUG
RNAcentral lists this ribosomal RNA (492 nucleotides) under uncultured bacterium. Its description in RNAcentral is "partial 16S ribosomal RNA". It matches the Rfam family "Bacterial small subunit ribosomal RNA", at positions 29 to 507 of the family's 1533-position model. The record is from RNAcentral.